Molecule: ribosomal RNA, 469 nt
Filed under: Veillonella atypica
Lineage: Bacteria; Bacillati; Bacillota; Negativicutes; Veillonellales; Veillonellaceae
Description: bacterial SSU rRNA
Rfam family: Bacterial small subunit ribosomal RNA
Source: RNAcentral
GACGAACGCUGGCGGCGUGCUUAACACAUGCAAGUCGAACGAAGAGCGAUGGAAGCUUGCUUCUAUCAAUCUUAGUGGCGAACGGGUGAGUAACGCGUAAUCAACCUGCCCUUCAGAGGGGGACAACAGUUGGAAACGACUGCUAGUACCGCAUACGAUCCAAUCUCGGCAUCGAGACUGGAUGAAAGGUGGCCUCUAUUUAUAAGCUAUCACUGAAGGAGGGGAUUGCGUCUGAUUAGCUAGUUGGAGGGGUAACGGCCCACCAAGGCGAUGAUCAGUAGCCGGUCUGAGAGGAUGAACGGCCACAUUGGGACUGAGACACGGCCCAGACUCCUACGGGAGGCAGCAGUGGGGAAUCUUCCGCAAUGGACGAAAGUCUGACGGAGCAACGCCGCGUGAGUGAUGACGGCCUUCGGGUUGUAAAGCUCUGUUAAUCGGGACGAAUGGUUCUUGUGCGAAUAGUGCGAGG